ACCCAAAGAGCGGAAGCACAAAAGAGGAGCAAGAGCAUUCACACAGGUUCAUAUACACAAGAUGAGGAAAAGUUGAUUUGCCAAUGUUGGAUGGAGAUUAGCCAAGAUCCGAAGACCGGCGCGCAACAAAAGGGCCUUGUUUUUUGGACGAGAGUCCACAAAACAUUUCAUGAAAGGAAGAUGUUUGAGCCCUACCAAAUGACAAGCAACCGUGGCAUCACCUCGAUUCAAAAGAGGUGGUUGUUCAUCCAACAAGAGUGUAACAAGUAUUGCUUCGCAUUUGAGAGCAUUGAAGCACGGCCCGUGAGUGGUCUCGGCGUUGGGGACAUGGUAUGCUCUCCUUAUCCUAGUCCUUUUCCUUGCUACGGCCAUGUGAGACUUCGGCCUUGUAUAUGUUUGCAUGUUCAAUUGUUGUUGAUCAUGUGGUGUAGGCAUUUCAAUCUUUGGAAGCAUUCAAGGCCCGACACAAUGACAAGCCAUUCACUCUUACGCAUUGUUGGACGAUCAUCAACAAUUGCCCUAAGUUCAAGGAUCAAUACCGUGAACUUCAAAGAAAGAGAGGCAAGAAGACGACCAAGUUCGCCGGAGGUGGAGAUGACGAGGCGUUGA
This 609-nucleotide ribosomal RNA is filed under the name Triticum aestivum (bread wheat). RNAcentral describes it as "partial small subunit ribosomal RNA". Lineage: Eukaryota; Viridiplantae; Streptophyta; Magnoliopsida; Poales; Poaceae. The record is from RNAcentral.